This is a long non-coding RNA of Canis lupus familiaris (dog), 2119 nucleotides long. RefSeq lists it as uncharacterized. The record is from RefSeq and is a predicted model, not a curated record. NCBI's taxonomy places the organism in Eukaryota, Metazoa, Chordata, Mammalia, Carnivora, Canidae. The transcript has 4 exons.
CACUCAACCACCAUAUCAAGAAUUCUCACCCCUUAUGACCAAAUGGUGAAAUUCCAUAGCAAGGGACUCUUCAUUCUUAACAGACUCACCAAGUUCUAAGAAAAGAAUCCAGUGGUAUAAUAGUGCAUAAGCGCAGACUUGCCAGCAUGGCCAAGAUAGCCAGAAGGAUACAGAAACCACCAGGAAGGUGGGAGCCAGGUGGGAGCCUGAAGGAUUUAGGACAAGACUUUCAUACAGUUCUUCUGUCUUUACUGAGGUAGCAUUAUAAUAUUACAGAAUGUGGAUAAAUAAUAUUAGAGCCUUGUAAUAGGUAUUCCUUUAAUCAUCAUGAGAAACAUAAAGGUUAACUUAAUGGUACCUAGACUCAAGGUACUUGGGUUAAAAUCCAAAUUGCAUUAAUUUCUGGCUGUAGGACUUCAGAGCAGCUCAUCUCCUCAGACUCCUCAACUGUGAAAUGUGAUAAUUACAGAACUUCUCUUAUAGGACCACUGCCAAGAUUAAAUAUUUAAGACAUGGAAUAUGCUUGAAGUAUUACCUGAUACCAAGAUGCAGAUCAAGAAGCAGAACAGAAUAAGUGCCCAAGCACAGAUCUGAAAUCAUGUACUUGCACUCAGACCAAGAGAAAGUCAUGAAGAACACCCAUACAGAUAAUAUUUGAAAUGCUUCAGGUGGCUCAUGGACUAUGUGAUUAAGUGCUCUCUGGGAGUGUCAUAGUCUUAGACCAUGCCAUGAGAUGGCAUGACAUGAAGGAACUGGAAGAUACAUUCAGGCCUGAUACCAGAAGAUGCAAGUGCUGCUCUCUUCCACGUGUGGGGAGGGGUACAGCAAACCAUCAGAGAGGACAAAGGUGCCCAGCACCAUUACAGUAUGAUGCUGACCGAAGUCAUGCCUUUUGAUCAUCUGUAAGGAGAACGUGUGUGGAAAAGAAAGAAAGGAAAAUCUUUGGUGAAGGAGGGAAAAAGAACCCUGCUGUUUCACUAGGACCUUCUGGGUGCCUGGAACACCCCGCCCCCCGCAGCACAGCUGCCACAGCAGCUGAAGAGCGGGGUUGUGCAGGGAAUGAGGAUGGAAAAGUGUCGAUAGCAUUAUCUUCCUGUUGUUAAACUCCUGAAGCUGCAUUUUUUCACCCAUUUUCUGACAUCAGUAUUUAUUGAUCUAUUGACACCAGCAGUGUAUCAAUAUAAUAUGGACAAAAUAUAGAUACUAGAUACUUGUAGCAAGUUUCUGUUUAAUCACCCUGGGAGAAACAGUGGAGACAAGAAUGGAACCAGGCUUCAAACGACCCCAGGACUAAAAUUAGGCUAUGUUCUUCCUGGCUCUCUUUCCUCAGGACAGGACAUUCAUCCCCUCUGUCCCUCUUUAAUGUGAUAUGAGAAUAAUUUUUCUUCCAUGAUCAUUGUAUUCUCAAUGUAUUCUCAAAUAACUUGAAAAGCACAUGGAACACAGAGAGCUGUGUCUGGUACAUGUUAAUCCCUCAGUGUAUGUUGCUGUUAUGACUGUUUUGUGCAUUUCUUAAUAUUAUUACGUAUUAGCUCACUUAUGUAUAUAACAUAACACCACAGGCUUAGCCACGUAUUUAAUAUCUUAAUUCAGAUUUGAUCUCUUGCAUUUCUGUAUGUCAGAACUUCAACCAGACUAUAAUCAACAUAUUAGCAAUACUAUUUUCCCUUCUGGAGGGUCUACGGGAGUAUCUGUGCCUUGCUUUGUGAAAUUUCAGAAGCUGACAGCAUUGGCCUCCUGUGUUCAUAUUCAAACCAACCAUGUAGAAUCUCUCUGACGCAUUCCAUUUUCAUAACUAUUUAUGAUUCAAUUUGGGAAAUGUUCUCUGUUUUUAAGGACUCAUAUCAUAACACUGAGCCACUGGAUAAGCCAGGAUAAAUCUCCUCAACUCAAGUACCUUAAUCUAAGCACAUCUGCAAAGCUCCAUUUACCAUAUAGGCCAUAGAUUCACAGGUUAAGGGGUUUGAGAUUGAGAUGUAGGUAUUUUUAGUGAGCCAUUAUUCUGAAUACUAAACAUUAGUAUCAAUUUUACCAUAUUUAUUAGGAAUAAAAUUACAGUGAUGGGGCACCUAGGUGGCUCAGUUGGUUAAGCAUCCGACUCUUGAUUUUGGCUCAGGUC